This 265-nucleotide signal recognition particle RNA is filed under the name Chloroflexota bacterium. RNAcentral's name for it is "signal recognition particle sRNA large type". It matches the Rfam family "Bacterial large signal recognition particle RNA". Rfam says of the family: The signal recognition particle (SRP) is a universally conserved ribonucleoprotein involved in the co-translational targeting of proteins to membranes. Archaeal SRP consists of a 7S RNA and homologues of the eukaryotic SRP19 and SRP54 proteins. In most bacteria, the SRP consists of a 4.5S RNA and the Ffh protein (a homologue of the eukaryotic SRP54 protein). Lineage: Bacteria; Bacillati; Chloroflexota. The record is from RNAcentral.
UCGUGCUAGGCGGGGAACUAGCGGUGCCCUGCACCCGCAAUCCGCUACAGCGGGGCUGAAUUCCCGGUCGAGGUCGUUGGCCUCCGCCUACCACUCCACCGCCCGACGUCGAGAGUCGGGUCCCACGCAGCGAAGGUCCGCGAACCCCGUCAGGUCCGGAAGGAAGCAGCGGUAAGCGAUCGCCCUCGGGUGCCGUGGGGCGACCUGGCUGGAGCCGGGCGGUGUGGCGCGUGCGGGGUUCGACCGAUCGACAUCGGGUGCACGA